UCUUCGGAACUUAGCGGCGAAUGGGUGAGUAACACGUACUUAACGUACCUCUUAGAUUGGGAUAACGCUGAGAAAUUAGCGCUAAUACCGGAUACUUAUAAGGAAGGCAUCUUCCUUAUAUAAAAGGAGCUCUCAAGCUCCACUAGGAGAUCGGGGUGCGGAACAUUAGCUAGUUGGUAAGGUAAUGGCUUACCAAGGCUAUGAUGUUUAACGGGGUUGAGAGACUGAUCCGUCACACUGGGACUGAGAUACGGCCCAGACUCCUACGGGAGGCAGCAGUAGGGAAUUUUCCACAAUGGGCGAAAGCCUGAUGGAGCGACACAGCGUGCAGGAUGAAGGCCUUCGGGUUGUAAACUGCUGUUAUUUAGGAUGAAAAAAUAGUAGAGGAAAUGCUAUUAUCUUGACAGUACUAAAUCAGAAAGCAACGGCUAACUAUGUGCCAGCAGCCGCGGUAAUACAUAGGUUGCAAGCGUUAUCCGGAAUUAUUGGGCGUAAAGCGUCUGUAGGUUGUUAGUUAAGUCUGGCGUCAAAACUUGGGGCUCAACCCCAAAUCGCGUUGGAUACUGGCUAACUAGAAUUGUGUAGAGGUUAACGGAAUUCCUUGUGAAGCGGUGAAAUGCGUAGAUAUAAGGAAGAACAUCAACUUGGCGAAGGCAGUUAACUGGGCACAUAUUGACACUGAGAGACGAAAGCGUGGGGAGCAAACAGGAUUAGAUACCCUGGUAGUCCACGCCGUAAACGAUGAUGAUUAGCUGAUGGGAACCAUCGGCGCAGCUAACGCAUUAAAUCAUCCGCCUGAGUAGUAUGCUCGCAAGAGUGAAACUUAAAGGAAUUGACGGGGAUCCGCACAAGCGGUGGAGCAUGUGGUUUAAUUUGAAGAUACGCGUAGAACCUUACCCACUCUUGACAUCUUCUGCGAAGCUA
Molecule: ribosomal RNA, 924 nt
Filed under: uncultured Mycoplasma sp.
Lineage: Bacteria; Bacillati; Mycoplasmatota; Mollicutes; Mycoplasmatales; Mycoplasmataceae
Description: bacterial SSU rRNA
Rfam family: Bacterial small subunit ribosomal RNA
Source: RNAcentral